Molecule: unclassified non-coding RNA, 329 nt
Filed under: soil metagenome
Description: partial contains 5.8S ribosomal RNA, internal transcribed spacer 2, and large subunit ribosomal RNA
Rfam family: 5.8S ribosomal RNA (bases 1-120)
Source: RNAcentral
GAUGAAGAACGUAGCGAAAUGCGAUAAGUAGUGUGAAUUGCAGAAUUCCGUGAAUCAUCGAAUCUUUGAACGCACAUUGCGCCCCUUGGUAUUCCGGGGGGCAUGCCUCUUCCAGCGUCAUUUCACCCCUCAAGCUCUGCUUGGUUUUGGGCCGCGCCGGCAACGGCGGGCCUCGAAAAUAGUGGCGACGCCAUCGUGCUCUCAGCGUAGUAAUUCUUCUCGCUGUUGGGUCCCGGUGGUCGUCCGCCAGCAACCCCCAACUUUCUUAAGUUUGACCUGGGAUGAGGUAGGGAUACCCGCUGAACUUAAGCAUAUCAAUAAGCGGAGGA